RNAcentral lists this long non-coding RNA (1271 nucleotides) under Homo sapiens (human). RNAcentral's name for it is "HSALNT0313864". Lineage: Eukaryota; Metazoa; Chordata; Mammalia; Primates; Hominidae. The record is from RNAcentral.
UUCUUUUUUAUGGUUAUGUAGUAUUCCAUGGUGUAUGUGUGGAAAUCUUUAAACAUUUAUGAAAUGAAACAGUAGAAUGAGCCCCAUCAAUCAACUACAGCCCGUCUGGAUAAUCAUGGUUGAUCUUCACAUCUCAAGAUCUUAAUCACAUCUGCAAAGUCUGUUCUUCCAUGUAAAGAAUUUUACUUGCAGUUACCUAAAAUUGUAAACAACUGCUCUUCAACAAGAGGAUAAAUUUACAGUACAUCCACAUAAUGGAAUACCAUUCAGCAUUAACAAGGAAUGAGCUAUUGAUAUGCACAACACCGGGGUGAGUCUCAGACAUUAUGCUAAAUGAAAGAAACCAAACAAGCAGCUAUGUAUUUUGUGAUUCCAUUUAUGUGACAUUCUUGAAAAGGCAAAACUUUGGGGAACAGAAAAGAGAUUUGUGGCUGCUUGGGAGUUGAACUUUAAAGGGUCAUGUGGGAGGUUUUGGGAGUAAUUAAAUUGUAUAUUUUGGUAAUGGUUACAUGAUUAUAUGUAUUUGUAAAAACUCAGAACUAUACACCAAAAAGAUGAAUUUAAUUUUAUGUAAGCUUUAAAAAGUUUUUUUUUUUCUUUUUUUUUUCCGAAAGCCAAGGAAUCAAUCAAAACUGAUGCCCAUAAAAGGCAGGAAAAUGAAGAACAGUUAAUACUUGGUACAAAUAGAAAAUUGCAAGCUGAUGGACUUGAAUCAACUAAAUCAGUAAUUCAAUAAUUACAUUAAAUCUUUUUUUGAACAGUCUCACUCUGUCACUCAGGCUGGAGUGCAGUGGUGGCGAUCUCGGCUCACUGCAACCUCUGCCCUUGGGUUCAAGCAAUUCUCCUGCCUCAGCCUCUCAAGUAGCUGGGACUAAAGGCACGCGCCACCACACCUGGCUAAUUUUUUGUAUUUUUAGUAGAGACAGGGUUUCACCAUGUUGGCCAGGCCAGUGUUGAACUCCUGGCUUCAAGUGAUCCACCCGAGUCAGCCUUCCAAAGUGCUGGGAUUGCAGGUGUGAGCCACUGUGCCUGGCCCAUUAAAUCUUAAUGGACCAGAUACUCCAAUUGUCAGAUUAAAAGAAUAAGAUCCAACUAUAUGCUAUUUACACACACUUUAAAUAUAAGGACACAAGGAAAAGUAAAAAGAAAAAGGUAAAAGAUAGAACAUGAAACUUUGAUUUGAAGGAAGCUGUAAAGCCAGGCCUGGUGGCUCAUCCCUGUAAUCCCAGCACUUUGGGAGGCUGAGGCAGGUGGAUUGCUUGAGUUCAGGA